GCCGCGAUGGUGAAAUUUGGUAAACACGUUGGACUUAAAAUCCAAUGACCCGAAGGGGUUUUGCGGGUCCGAGUCCCGCUCGCGGUA
RNAcentral lists this transfer RNA (87 nucleotides) under Bacteriophage sp. Its description in RNAcentral is "tRNA-Leu". It matches the Rfam family "tRNA". Rfam says of the family: Transfer RNA (tRNA) molecules are approximately 80 nucleotides in length. Their secondary structure includes four short double-helical elements and three loops (D, anti-codon, and T loops). The record is from RNAcentral.